Molecule: ribosomal RNA, 497 nt
Filed under: uncultured bacterium
Lineage: Bacteria
Description: partial 16S ribosomal RNA
Rfam family: Bacterial small subunit ribosomal RNA
Source: RNAcentral
GACGAACGCUGGCGGCGUGCCUAAUACACGCCAGUUGAGCGCUGAAGGUUGGUACUUGUACCAACUGGAUGAGCAGCGAACGGGUGAGUAACGCGUGGGGAAUCUGCCUUUGAGCGGGGGACAACAUUUGGAAACGAAUGCUAAUACCGCAUAAAAACUUUAAACACAAGUUUUAAGUUUGAAAGAUGCAAUUGCAUCACUCAAAGAUGAUCCCGCGUUGUAUUAGCUAGUUGGUGAGGUAAAGGCUCACCAAGGCGAUGAUACAUAGCCGACCUGAGAGGGUGAUCGGCCACAUUGGGACUGAGACACGGCCCAAACGCCUACGGGAGGCAGCAGUAGGGAAUCUUCGGCAAUGGACGAAAGUCUGACCGAGCAACGCCGCAGGAGUGAAGAAGGGUUUCGGAUCGUAAAACUCUGUUGGUAGAGAAGAACGUUGGUGAGAGUGGAAAGCUCAUCAAGUGACGGUAACUACCCAGAAAGGGACGGCUAACUACGUG